UGGGGAAUAUUGGACAAUGGGGGCAACCCUGAUCCAGCAAUGCCGCGUGUGUGAAGAAGGCCUGCGGGUUGUAAAGCACUUUUGGCAGGGAUGAAAAGCACUGGAUUAAUAACCCAGUGUGUUGACCUAACCUGCAGAAGAAGCACCGGCUAACUCUGUGCCAGCAGCCGCGGUAAUACAGGGGGUGCGAGCGUUAAUCGGAAUUACUGGGCGUAAAGGGCGCGUAGGCGGUCGAGUAAGUCGGAUGUGAAAUCCCCGGGCUUAACCUGGGAAUUGCAUUCGAUACUGCUUGGCUAGAGUGUGGAAGAGGGAAGCGGAAUUUCCGGUGUAGCGGUGAAAUGCGUAGAUAUCGGAAGGACACCAGUGGCGAAGGCGGCUUCCUGGUCCAACACUGACGCUGAGGCGCGAAAGCGUGGGGAGCAAACAGGAUUAGAUACCCUCGUAGUCCCUGAGCGGGCUGGCAAGGCGCAU
Molecule: ribosomal RNA, 471 nt
Filed under: uncultured bacterium
Lineage: Bacteria
Description: bacterial SSU rRNA
Rfam family: Bacterial small subunit ribosomal RNA
Source: RNAcentral